RNAcentral lists this ribosomal RNA (300 nucleotides) under uncultured bacterium. RNAcentral describes it as "bacterial SSU rRNA". It matches the Rfam family "Bacterial small subunit ribosomal RNA", at positions 28 to 329 of the family's 1533-position model. The record is from RNAcentral.
GAUAAACGCUGGCGGCGUGCCUAACACAUGCAAGUCGAACGUCCUCUCUCGCAAGAGAGAGGGAGUGGCGGACGGGUGAGUAACACAUGGGUCACCUACCCUUAAGUGAGGAAUACCGGCGAGAAAUCGCCGACAAGACCGCAUAGGCUCUCUCUUUUGCAAGAGAGAGCAAAGCUUCGCAAGAGGCGCUUGAGGAUGGGCCUGUGGCCGAUUAGCUGGUUGGAGGGUAAGUAGGCUUACCAAGGCGACGAUCGGUAGCUGGUCUGAGAGGACGAUCAGCCACACUGGGAUUGAGAACGG